This is a long non-coding RNA of Lolium rigidum, 2818 nucleotides long. RefSeq lists it as uncharacterized. The record is from RefSeq and is a predicted model, not a curated record. The transcript is spliced from 4 exons. Lineage: Eukaryota; Viridiplantae; Streptophyta; Magnoliopsida; Poales; Poaceae.
GACUUGGCUUCGAGAUCUUAUGGGUUUCAACUCUAGCCUACCCCAACUUGUUUGGGACUGAAAGGCUUGGUUGUUGUUGUUGUUGUUGUUGUUGUUGUUGUCUUUCACAACAUUGCUUUCAGUGAAAAACAAAAAAAAUUCCACCAAAUAUAGACCCUGCAGAAUACUUCCCUUAGAGGGCCAAUUAGUUUCUAAUGUAUUCAUCUUUUAGAAUCGAGAUCCCUUCUGAGUGGGUGCAUGCCAAAGCAAAAGGACGCUACUCUAUGUUAGAAUGCGGGUACUGAAAUGAUCUACCAGUGGAAGGGUCAGAUGCUUCUGCACAUGACUCCUGCAAAGAAUAUGUUUUCAAGAACCUCAUCAUAUGUGUUAUCUUGUGAUUUAUAUUAUUUGUUUAAUGGUAAAUAAAAUAUCUAGAAACAUCGGCACAUAUUUUCUUUUCUAUGAGACUUACAGGCGCCAUAUCUCCAGGGAGCCUUCCAGCUGCAGACUUUGCGGUCAGAGAUUAUUACUAUAUCCCACCCUGGUGAACUGGGAUAUAUGUUUGCCUUAUAAUGGCCUUUUAGCAUUUAUGGCAGCAUUUGAAAGGAUGAUGAUAUUAAAAUACAUUAUAUGCCAUUGGAUAUGGAUUUAUUUCUGCUGAAACCUAGGAUAUAUCUCUGAUUAUUAAAAUUCAUAGUCGUUUAAUUACUAGAUCACUUGUUGUUGGUUCACUUAUUGUUUCCUUUUUUUACUGUCUACUAAGGAGGCAACUUUAAACUUACAUAGUGUGUUCCCCCACGUUUACGGCUAUGAAAUCUUUAGCUAUACAGAAUUAUUUUGGGGAAAAAGUUAAAAUCAGCGUGGCCCACUUGCUAGUGUUUCUAGAAGAUACACUAGCCUUACAAACCUAUUUGCUAACUAUAAAACGGUGACGUCAUAACUAAGUAAUGAAUUUCCAUGUCUUCCAGUAUAAAAAUAGGUUGGAUAUGAUGCUUCAUGGUCCACUGCCUUAUUGUCAAGCACUGUCGGUUGUUGUAUGCUUGUCAUGCUACACGGUUGAAUUUUCCACACGAGCCAUUUGGAUUCUAGGAAAACCAUGAGCAUAAGUAACAAAAUCAUCUGACAGUAUUCUCAUAGUGUUACAUUAGAUAGAGUCUAGGUAGGUUGGUAAUGUAACACAAUUGCUGAAAGCGAGAGAAUGGCGAUCGAAUGGUGCCGACUUGCUAAUCUUCGAGAAGAGCUUUCCGCUAAAUCAUGCCUCGAUUCAGCGUAGGGACAACUAUCUGAUUAAGUAUCGUUCAGUUAAAUAGAGAAAUUAUCUAGGCUAUCAGCUAUCUGAUUGGUAUGCAGAGUAAUAAAUAUAGAAAUAAUUGUGUUUUAGACUUCCAUAAUACCUUGAAUAUACUUGCUGUAGGGGAUUAUCCAGGUAAUUGCUCAUGAUCAUAGCUAGUUCUCUGAUAUCUGUACUCUUUCUGCGUCAUCAUUGCAUCUUCUUUCAGUUAAAGUUAAUCGUCAGUUUACUGCCAACUUGUGCAUACCCUAUCUCUGUGGUCUAGUAGUACUUGGAUCUUGGAUCUUGAUAGCGAUGAAGUAAAUUACAAAACUGGCAUAUGUUUAGGCUAGCCGGGCUAUCUCUGAUUUUUGUAUGCAUUACUCAUUCUUUAGAGUAUAUGCCUUGCAUGGAAAAUCAUAUUCUUAUAUUGUUAGCAAUGUCACUGCAAUCACAAAAUUCAAAAUUAUACUUGCAAUUUGACGAGCAAUAUUGCCUUCUGCAGGCACUGCCUUCUUCAGGUGGAGUUAAAUUGAGGUCUUGAAACACCAUGGCUCAAGAGCUUGAUCCUGGCAAUCUGCUGCUGCUGGUGGCGGCGAGGUGCUGAUCUGAUGGGGUCUGGCGCCUUGGAGCACGGGGUCGGCGACACAUUGGGCUAGCAGACGCACAUGCCGGCGACGUGUUACAUCAUUGCUUAAACCGAAUAUUUGUUUUGAUUCUGAUGCAUUCAUUCUUGAGCAGCUGGAGGAGUCGAUGGAUCGGACAAGUUCUCGGAGCACUGCAGAUCAUGGUGCCUAACAAUCAGCAACAGUUCAUCAGCAUCCUGACCGGCCACGUCAACAGCCGCGUGAUCCCCGUGAGCAGAUUCAGAUGCAAGCAUGGUUGAUCAGCCCGGAAAGCAGUCGUCCCCCGCGGUCAUCGUUGUCGAUAAUGAAGGCGAUGGUGUCUUCGCGGUGGCAGUAGGCGAGCACGGUUUUGUCCUUGGUGACAGUGUCGUAAGUCCGGUCCUCUGUCCUGACCUGGACGCGGAGGACCGCGAGCGUGGCGGAUGGCAUGGGACGAUCCCGCUCGCCACCACCUCGGUACCCCGGGUGCCCAAGCGGAGGCAGUGAUGGCUCUGCGCGUGCUCUCCUUCUGUCACUCCGCGUCGAGCUGCACGGAGCUUCUGGUGGCAGGAGGUAUUCACAUAGAGGAAAAACAUGAACGAUGCCACAUGGCGUCCAUCACAAAUCAAGGAGAUCUACAUGAGAGAUGCCCAGCAGAAUACUAGCCCAUGCGGUGGAGGUGCUCUUAGCUAAAUUCUACGGUGUGAAGUUACUCACAUUAUUUAGUCUCAAGAUAAGAUUAUAGAAGCUGAUUGUCGGAAUCUAAUACAGAAACAUGAUCGUGCCUAAGCAGUUGAUCCAGCAUUCUAGUGACUGCCAUUGCUAUGUGGCCAGUUCCAAUUGUAAGCUGAAUGUGAUAAGUUUAGUCAGGUCUAGUGUGUUAUAUGUAGCGUAAUAUUAUUUGCGUCUUGCGUUGUAGAAAAGUAUGACCAAUCAGGGUACUUAUUACUAUACAACAUCUUCA